RNAcentral lists this ribosomal RNA (324 nucleotides) under uncultured bacterium. RNAcentral's name for it is "bacterial SSU rRNA". It matches the Rfam family "Bacterial small subunit ribosomal RNA", at positions 28 to 334 of the family's 1533-position model. The record is from RNAcentral.
GAUGAACGCUGGCGGCGUGCUUAACACAUGCAAGUCGAACGAAGCACUUUACUUGAUUUCUUCGGAAUGAUUGUUCUGUGACUGAGUGGCGGACGGGUGAGUAACGCGUGGGUAACCUGCCUCAUACAGGGGGAUAACAGUUAGAAAUGGCUGCUAAUACCGCAUAAGCGCACAGUACCGCAUGGUACGGUGUGAAAAACCCAGGUGGUGUGAGAUGGAUCCGCGUCUGAUUAGCCAGUUGGCGGGGUAACGGCCCACCAAAGCGACGAUCAGUAGCCGACCUGAGAGGGUGACCGGCCACAUUGGGACUGAGACACGGCCCAA